RNAcentral lists this ribosomal RNA (411 nucleotides) under uncultured bacterium. RNAcentral describes it as "bacterial SSU rRNA". It matches the Rfam family "Bacterial small subunit ribosomal RNA", at positions 370 to 772 of the family's 1533-position model. The record is from RNAcentral.
AAUGGGGGAAACCCUGACGCAGCAACGCCGCGUGGGUGAUGAAGGCCUUCGGGUCGUAAAGCCCUGUUGGGAGGGAAGAAAUGAUUGAGGGUUAAUACCUCUUGAUCUUGACGGUACCUCCGAAGGAAGCACCGGCUAACUCCGUGCCAGCAGCCGCGGUAAUACGGAGGGUGCAAGCGUUGUUCGGAAUUAUUGGGCGUAAAGCGCGUGUAGGCGGUCUUUUAAGUCUGAUGUGAAAGCCCCGGGCUCAACCUGGGAAGUGCAUUGGAAACUGGGAGACGUGAGUACGGGAGAGGAGAGUGGAAUUCCUAGUGUAGGAGUGAAAUCCGUAGAUAUUAGGAAGAACACCAGUGGCGAAGGCGGAUUACUGGACGACAACUGACGCUGAGGCUCGAAAGCGUGGGGAGCAAA